GCGAAGUUGGUGAGCUGGGCUGUCGUAACCGCUAGAUCAGUGCACGUCUACACAUGAAUGAAUAUUCACAAUGAAACGAAGGCGCGCAUCACCGCAUUAAUAGCCAUAAGAAGGAUUACAAGCUGUUACGACAGCCAGUGUCAACAUGACAACACACCUUCGUUUUAUUUGAAUUAUUCAUGAUGUUGUGACCCAAACACUACGUUAAGCUUACAGUGAGUUUACAUCAUAAGCCACGGACAUUGACGCAAGGUAAACGCACACGGAAGAAGCGAAACCUACCACCGAGAAAUACAAGAAGAGAAACCGCAGAAGAAAAUGAGAAAUAGUUUCGUUGGGAAAAUGGCUUUGGGCAACAGACAGUCAGUCAGGCAGGCUUGCACAGACAGAGUGGCCAGCGAGAUUAUGCGCCUGUGUUGAUUCACAAGCUUGACAGAUGCUGAUUUGGAUGACAACAUAAUAAUCAAUAAACCAGAAGCUGAAUCUGCUUGUUGAGGGACUGCAUACAUUAACAAAGGAGUUGUUUGGCAAAAUAAACUUGGACCAACCUGCCUUGAUGCGCACCAAGCCAUGUACCGCACAGGUGGAUAUAUGAAUGCUUAUUUAAAAUUAUUUUCCUGUGCACACAUGAUUAUUCUGCCUUAUAUUGUUGUAAGCAAUAUUAGUUUACACACCUCAAGUUGUUGUGUCUGUGUUUAUUACAGAAAAACCUUAAAAGCAUGUAAGCAUAUCUGGCUCAGGGUCAGCAAGUUACUGGUUUCAAUUAUGCUUCAUUAGUUGCUGUAACAUCCUUGUCUGCUAUACAAACCUAUUUUAUCUAUGCAGUUUCUUUGUAUGUUUCUCUUUUAUCAUAAUGUGUAACUUUGUUACACUUUCUAUGAGCGGCCUCUACACUAAUAUCAGUUUGUUUUGUUUUCCAUGCCCCGUCCUGGAGUUCCCGAAGACACCAGAGGUCGCCAGUCCAAGCUCCGGGUUGUGGCCUGAUGCUCUUCCCAGUUCAGCCAGAUGCUUGUGAUGAUGGGCAAUCCACCUGAUGACAACUAACAAUUACCAUACUUUAACUUGAACAAAUAUAUUCUUUUCAUACGUUUUGGUAUUAUUGCAAACUGUUCUGGUAUAUUGUAAUUUAACAAUAUUUAAAAUAAUAAUAUACCUAGAUUAAAUAUACUUCAAUUAAAUAAUUGACCGUUUCUGACAAUCCAAGAUAACAUUUAUUUCAGUUUCAUCAGUGUACAUUGCAUUGAGAAAUAAUACCAUGUGUCUUAAUAUCAUAUACUU
Triplophysa rosa is the source of this 1278-nucleotide long non-coding RNA. RefSeq lists it as uncharacterized. The transcript has 2 exons. The record is from RefSeq and is a predicted model, not a curated record. NCBI's taxonomy places the organism in Eukaryota, Metazoa, Chordata, Actinopteri, Cypriniformes, Nemacheilidae.